RNAcentral lists this ribosomal RNA (253 nucleotides) under uncultured bacterium. RNAcentral's name for it is "partial 16S ribosomal RNA". It matches the Rfam family "Bacterial small subunit ribosomal RNA", at positions 524 to 776 of the family's 1533-position model. The record is from RNAcentral.
UACGUAGGGUGCGAGCGUUAAUCGGAAUUACUGGGCGUAAAGCGCACGUAGGCGGUUUUUUAAGACAGGCGUGAAAUCCCCGGGCUUAACCUGGGAAUGGCGCUUGUGACUGCAAAGCUGGAGUGCGGCAGAGGGGGAUGGAAUUCCGCGUGUAGCAGUGAAAUGCGUAGAUAUGCGGAGGAACACCGAUGGCGAAGGCAAUCCCCUGGGCCUGUACUGACGCUCAUGCACGAAAGCGUGGGGAGCAAACAGG